GUCCACGCCGUAAACGAUGGGUGCUAGGUGUGGGCGGUGUCGACUCCGUCCGUGCCGAAGCUAACGCAUUAAGCACCCCGCCUGGGGAGUACGGCCGCAAGGCUAAAACUCAAAGGAAUUGACGGGGGCCCGCACAAGCAGCGGAGCAUGUGGUUUAAUUCGACGCUACGCGAAGAACCUUACCAAGGCUUGACAUGUACCGGAAUGUCGUAGAAAUACGGCAGCCCUUCGGGGCCGGUACACAGGUGGUGCAUGGCUGUCGU
RNAcentral lists this ribosomal RNA (263 nucleotides) under uncultured bacterium. Its description in RNAcentral is "partial 16S ribosomal RNA". It matches the Rfam family "Bacterial small subunit ribosomal RNA", at positions 793 to 1055 of the family's 1533-position model. The record is from RNAcentral.